AUUCAUAGCUAAUGAACUCCUUGACAGGAAACUGAUGAAAACAUUCCUAAAGGACCUGAAGCUAACACUGAUUGUCAAAAUGGGACAAGCUGGGCUGUGGAAUUAGGAAGUGAGCAGCAACUAUACCCCAUAGUUGUGAAAGAUCUCGAGUACCCUGGACACAUGCUUAUAGAGAUGCUGUGCAAUGACCAUACUCGCUUUAUGGAAGUUGCUGAUGUGAUUUAUAAUUUGCAACUAACUGUGCUCAAGGGUGUGAUGGAAAGCCGCUUGGACAAUACAUGGGCCUGCUUUAUUGUCGAGGCCUCGAGAAACUUUCAUCGUCUGGACAUCUUCUGGCCUUUAAUGCAACUUCUG
Molecule: long non-coding RNA, 354 nt
Organism: Olea europaea var. sylvestris
Lineage: Eukaryota; Viridiplantae; Streptophyta; Magnoliopsida; Lamiales; Oleaceae
Exons: 3
Source: RefSeq, a predicted model, not a curated record